RNAcentral lists this ribosomal RNA (465 nucleotides) under Vreelandella stevensii. Its description in RNAcentral is "partial 16S ribosomal RNA". It matches the Rfam family "Bacterial small subunit ribosomal RNA", at positions 338 to 795 of the family's 1533-position model. Lineage: Bacteria; Pseudomonadati; Pseudomonadota; Gammaproteobacteria; Oceanospirillales; Halomonadaceae. The record is from RNAcentral.
CCUACGGGGGGCUGCAGUGGGGAAUAUUGGACAAUGGGGGGAACCCUGAUCCAGCCAUGCCGCGUGUGUGAAGAAGGCCCUCGGGUUGUAAAGCACUUUCAGUGAGGAAGAACGCCUGGUGGUUAAUACCCAUCAGGAAAGACAUCACUCACAGAAGAAGCACCGGCUAACUCCGUGCCAGCAGCCGCGGUAAUACGGAGGGUGCGAGCGUUAAUCGGAAUUACUGGGCGUAAAGCGCGCGUAGGUGGCUUGAUAAGCCGGUUGUGAAAGCCCCGGGCUCAACCUGGGAACGGCAUCCGGAACUGUCAAGCUAGAGUGCAGGAGAGGAAGGUAGAAUUCCCGGUGUAGCGGUGAAAUGCGUAGAGAUCGGGAGGAAUACCAGUGGUGAAGGCGGCCUUCUGGACUGACACUGACACUGAGGUGCGAAAGCGUGGGUAGCAAACAGGAUUAGAUACCCCUGUAGUC